UGGGGAAUAUUGCACAAUGGAGGGAACUCUGAUGCAGCGACGCCGCGUGAACGAAGAAGGCUUUCGAGUCGUAAAGUUCUUUUAUAUGGGAAGAUAAUGACGAUACCAUAAGAAAAAGCCCCGGCUAACUACGUGCCAGCAGCCGCGGUAAUACGUAGGGGGCUAGCGUUGUCCGGAAUCACUGGGCGUAAAGGGUUCGCAGGCGGAAAUGCAAGUCAGGUGUAAAAGGCAGUAGCUUAACUACUGUAAGCAUUUGAAACUGCAUAUCUUGAGAAGAGUAGAGGUAAGUGGAAUUUUUAGUGUAGCGGUGAAAUGCGUAGAUAUUAAAAAGAAUACCGGUGGCGAAGGCGACGUACUGGGCUCAUUCUGACGCUGAGGAACGAAAGCGUGGGUAGCAAACAGG
RNAcentral lists this ribosomal RNA (403 nucleotides) under bacterium. RNAcentral's name for it is "partial 16S ribosomal RNA". It matches the Rfam family "Bacterial small subunit ribosomal RNA", at positions 355 to 776 of the family's 1533-position model. The record is from RNAcentral.